GGUUCUGUCCGGGUCCCCUCAGCGAGCAGCCUCAGGCCUUUGGCAGUGGUGAGGCUGCGGAGGUGGGGAAACGGAGUCUCCCUUGGGCGCUAGCACACUUGACCUCUCCUUUUUCAGAGGCGGCAUGGUGACGCCCGCUUUUAGCAUCUGCAGAGAGAGAAGCGGACCUGCAGGUGGAAGCUUAAAAGUAAUGAAUGGAGCCCCGAAAUGAGUUAAAGGUGUUGGCUGUGGGCUUUGAAAAAAGUGCCAUGAAAACUGUCGUCUUAAGAUGUUGGGUGUAAGGAUCCCCGUGAUGAAAUUUCUAUAAACGGGACAGUCAUAGCCUUGGUUUCUGAGCUGAAAUGGACCCUCCAGAAGAGGACACUAAGCAGCAAUGUCUGCAGUGUGAGACAGAACUGAGCUGCUUUGCCUGAAGCAGGUGAAACGACUUCUCUCCUGUCGUUUGUGAAUUCCCAGUUGUGCCAGCGGAUCAGCACAGCCUCUGUUGCUAAUUGCUAAUGCGUAUAGUGUUCCCCCCAAAGGAGAAUCAUUUCAGAGCUCUGCAGACUUCAUCUUCAAAAGUAGCCAAAUCGCAUGACAAUGCGAUUAUCCUAGAAAGUCUCAGGCAGUUAGUGAAAUCGGGAUGUAACUAAGAACAUUCAGAACGCCAUAGCUCAGGUGAUCUGGGUAUAUUACCUGUGUAUUGGCGGCAGGACUGCAGUGAUGGUAAAUGGGAGGUAAUUCACAUGCCUAUGCUCUUCUGUGGGAAACAGGUGCUCAGCCUAGAAAAACAUUUCUCAGAGUGGAAUUCUUAAGUCAGUGUGUCUUGGGCUUAAAUUUUGAAGCACAAAUAAAAAUAUUUUGAAAUGA
Long non-coding RNA from Miniopterus natalensis, 849 nucleotides. RefSeq lists it as uncharacterized. The record is from RefSeq and is a predicted model, not a curated record. NCBI's taxonomy places the organism in Eukaryota, Metazoa, Chordata, Mammalia, Chiroptera, Miniopteridae.